RNAcentral lists this ribosomal RNA (429 nucleotides) under Bacteroidota bacterium. Its description in RNAcentral is "Bacteroidetes bacterium partial 16S ribosomal RNA". It matches the Rfam family "Bacterial small subunit ribosomal RNA", at positions 355 to 776 of the family's 1533-position model. The record is from RNAcentral. Lineage: Bacteria; Pseudomonadati; Bacteroidota.
UAGGGAAUCUUCGGCAAUGGGGGGAACCCUGACCGAGCAACGCCGCGUGAGUGAAGAAGGUUUUCGGAUCGUAAAGCUCUGUUGUUAAGGAAGAACGAGUGUGAGAAUGGAAAGUUCAUACUGUGACGGUACUUAACCAGAAAGGGACGGCUAACUACGUGCCAGCAGCCGCGGUAAUACGUAGGUCCCGAGCGUUGUCCGGAUUUAUUGGGCGUAAAGCGAGCGCAGGCGGUUAGAUAAGUCUGAAGUUAAAGGCAGUGGCUCAACCAUUGUAGGCUUUGGAAACUGUUUAACUUGAGUGCAGAAGGGGAGAGUGGAAUUCCAUGUGUCGCGGUGAAAUGCGUAGAUAUAUGGAGGAACACCGGUGGCGAAAGCGGCUCUCUGGUCUGUAACUGACGCUGAGGCUCGAAAGCGUGGGGAGCGAACAGG